Molecule: long non-coding RNA, 912 nt
Filed under: Homo sapiens (human)
Lineage: Eukaryota; Metazoa; Chordata; Mammalia; Primates; Hominidae
Description: MIR646 host gene
Source: RNAcentral
AUCCACUGGGAGUCCUUUUGCGUUUCAGAUGCUCCCAGGCUCUCCCGCAGUUUAAAGACUUAACUCAGCGGCUUUCAGGGCCUGUGGUUGAGGGACUCCGAAAGAACUGUUGCUGGUGGACCGGUUCAGGGUCUUGACUUCGCCACACAAAAGAACUUGAGAGCACGUCCAAAGUAAAGCUAAGACCUCUAGUACAGUGUUCAAUGGAACUGGUGAGAAAAGACGUCCUUGCUGUGUUCCUGAUAUGAAGAGGAAAGCAGUCCUUCUCCAUUAAAUGCUGACAACAUGAGCCUCCCGUGGUCGGAACGGGCUUGUGAAGGCGGUGCUGGGGUGCACCAGGGCAGCAGCUACAGAAUGCACCAGCUGGAGUCGACAUUAAAGGGCCCCAUUUCCCAUUUGCUGCAGAAGAUGUUUAAUUGGAAGUCUCUCCCUGUCCUUUUGACCGUCUGCUUUUGCAUGUGAUUUGACUAUGCGCUGAGGACCUAGCGUGGUAUAUCAGCAAAGUGGAAAAGUGACUGAAGUGACUGUUUAUCAUCUUGUACCAAGUUACACCACUUUAAGCUUUAACUCCACAGCUCUUGCAUUAUUUUAAAACCGUCUGGCAGAUCUCUAAAACUAAUGGUACAAACCACUCUGUGAUACAUUAAAAUACAUCCCACUCUGUCAUACUGCAAACAAGUAGCUGCUCCCCAGUCUUUGAAAAAGUACUUUCAAGAUAAAAUAUGUACUCAUGGGUUCUGCAGGUUUUUAAAAAGUCUUGAAUCUUCACAGAUUUACUGGGGGGGAAGGGGCGUUUCAUGUAAAAUGUGUUUUUCCUUGACAUUUAGAGGUCUUGCAAAGUGGUUUAUUAUAGAUCUUGUGGACAUCUCGCUAUUUAAUUAAAUUUCAGAAAUAUAUUCUCUGCACUCAUAA